Lycium barbarum (goji berry) is the source of this 719-nucleotide long non-coding RNA. RefSeq lists it as uncharacterized. The record is from RefSeq and is a predicted model, not a curated record. Lineage: Eukaryota; Viridiplantae; Streptophyta; Magnoliopsida; Solanales; Solanaceae. The transcript is spliced from 3 exons.
CAUUUCAACACUUGCAAAAAAAAAUUGAAGACCUCUCCAUUGAAAGAGGCUCACGGCCAGCCCCUCCCCAAAAUUUACCUCCAUUUCUUGUCCUUCAAAAAUUAUUCCAUUGGUACAAACCCACCAUAUUGAGGUCCCUAAGUAUCGUGGAGGCAUCGUUGGAGCGAUCAACCUAUUAUUUUUCAUCUUUUGAAAACCCUAGGCUAUUGGAAGUAGAAGAGAAAAAGAUCGUGGGCAGCCCGAAGCCUAGUUUGGACUUAGCUUGAGUUGGAUCAUAUUGGAGAGCGUUUGAGGUACAGACGCACAGCCUGGUGAUCCACCGGUUUAGGACACCCCCUUCUGCUAUUCGGAGUGCUCCUCUCAUUCCGGAGCUUAUAUUUUUGGUAUAUAUAUUUGUUAGUGCAUUUAUAUAUAUUCGUUCAUGGGUACGGCGGGGCCCUGUCCCGUCAUAUGAUUCUGUCGGUCUGUUUAGAGGUCUGUGGACAUGUUUGUGGGUUGGGGUCUUUUCUGUACGGAUGCGUGUAUAUGUUGUGUUUGGGCGAUCCCAUUCGCCGCGGCGGCCGGUCCGCAUAUGUUUAAAUGUUGCUUUGUUGGCCCUGUGUGGCCUUUGUUGGUAUUAUCUGUGCGCAGGGUUAAUUUGGAUAGUCUGUAAAACAAAGGAAACUCUGCCGAAAUUUUUCUGGAAAUUAUCUAAAUUUGAAACACCGCCUUGUCGGCUU